RNAcentral lists this long non-coding RNA (2628 nucleotides) under Helianthus annuus (common sunflower). RNAcentral's name for it is "hypothetical non coding rna". Lineage: Eukaryota; Viridiplantae; Streptophyta; Magnoliopsida; Asterales; Asteraceae. The record is from RNAcentral.
UUGGAGGCAUGGGGUCCUUUCUUGAAAAAGAAAAAGACGGGGAUGUAUAAUAUAAAUUACAAGGUCCUAUCAAUUAUUAAUAUGCAUUAUGCAUUAUGCAUGAUUCAUGAAUGUUAUAAUGUGUUCAAAUUGCCACCCAAGAUGGAACCACAAAGUCUUUUGAAAUUAUUAUAAGAUAUAGUAGUGGGAAAAAUAACAAAGACAAACUAUUUUAGUGAGGUCACUUUCAUCACAUUAAAUAAUAAUUAUCUCAAAAUAAAUAUCUUCGAAUUUUUGGAGGAAAAAAAGCAAAAAGUAAUUUGUAUAUUUUUAUUAUGUAAUAUAACUAGUAGUUGCCCCACCCGUGUUGCGGGGCGAUACCCGAAUAAUUCUAAAUCAAUUAAAAAAAUACUACUAUAAUUUUGUUAGGAAAAAAACUAAAACGAUGAUAAGACCGUAAUUUUCUGCUCAUAGCAAAACUUUAUUUUUUCAGGACUAAUGAGCGAGUGUUAUGCAGUUCCUUGACACGUGAAAAAAUUAAAUGGAGUUAACCAAUGAAAACAAAAAACUUUUAUAGUUUUGCUAAAAAAAACUAAAACGAUGGGAAAAACGUAAUUUUUAACUGAGGGCGAAAUUAUAAUUUUAUUUUAGGGAUACAAUCGUAAAUUAAAUGGACCAAUGGGGGAGUGCCAGGCAGCUGCCGGCAUGACUGUAAUUUUACACUGGGGGCAAAAUUGUAAUUUAACCAGGAAAACAAACAAAAACGAUGGGGAAAAUGUAAAUUUAAGUUGAAGGCAAAAUCGUAAUGUAGCUGUGAGAAAAAACGUAAUGGCAAAUCUGUAAAUUUAAACGGGUCAAAAUCGUAAUUUUGAUCCGAUGGCAAAAUUGAAAUUUUUAGCUGGGAGCAAAAGCUUUAAUUUAUUUUUAUGUGGGGGCAAAAACAUAUUUUUAAACUGAUGGUAAAAUCGUAAUUUUAAAGGGAAAUAAAAGCGUAAAUUUGUUGGGUCAAUAGGAGAGUGUCUAGCCACCGAUUUCAACCAAUAAUGGGAGAGCACUAUUGCCGCCCAUGAAAAUUGUUAUGUUGAAAAUUUGAAUAUCUUAAAAAAUAUUUACUAGUAUAGAAACGAUGAGAUGAAAGUAUCGAUAUGUAAAUGUAUAAAACUCUAUUAUCAAUAGAAUUGAGUUGUUGACUCUAAUAGAUAAAACUUUAUAUUAAUCGGAUUAAUGAAGGAAAAAACUUUUAGGUCAAGGAGAAGAAAGGUGAGUGAAGAUAGUAAUAUAUAUAAGACAAUUUUAUGGGUUGUUUGUUUAUCUCUCAAUAGCGCUCUUAAUGGUUCAGAUCUCUUAUUGGUUUAGCACUUAAUGGUUCUGGAUGUUUGUUUCGUGGGCAGAUGUCUAAAUGGUUCAGACAUUUGCAUCUGAAUGGUUAAGUAUUAUACUGAGUCUGAAUGUUAAGACCUCUAAUCUGAAUUGGUCAGGGAUUUGCCUCUGAAAGGUUAAACAUUAUAUUGGCUCUUAAUGAUUCAGACCUCUUACUAAUUCAGCACUUAACCAUUCAAAAAUUGCCAAACAACCCUUAGUUAAUAUUAAACUAACAUACUUCUGAAUAUUUAUAUACUUUGUACUUUGCAAAAUUAAACUCUUUUAAGGGAAGACAUAUCACUACACCAUAACCUCUAGAGUCAUAUGACACAUAUAUUUUAAAUAGAUAAAUCAUGAAAGAAAAAAAAAAGGAACUCGACAACCAGAAGACCAAAUGAGUGGUUUUACACUUUAACAUGACAGAAUGGUGAGCUAUAUAUCCUAAGGGCUUUUUCUAUGUUAAGUCAACAUUAUUUCAUUUUAUGAAUUUUGUAUGUGUUGUCAUUUUUUAUAUCUUUAGAUAUACUUUUAGGAUUUUUUAUAUGAAAAAAUAUCUUAAUAUCUUUGUUUAGUAAUAAUUUUAUCAAUAUGUAUACUUCCAAGAGAAAAAAGUUAUUAAAAAGAAAUCAGGAAAAGUGAUCUCCAAAGAUACUUUUGACGUAAUAACACAAAAUUCACAUAAACAACAACGGGACAAUUGGACAUAUGAAAAACAUGUUAUUUAAAGAAAAUCAUUAAAUAUAACUAUCCCAAUCCAGAUAAAUAACACACCCCAAAACUAUUGAAUAUCAUGUGUUUUUACUAUUUAUUUAGAGAUACAAACAACAACAACACUACUCAGUAAAUCUCACUUAUAGCAAAGUUAUCGCUAGGGUCUGGAAGGGUGAGAUGUAGGCAAGACUUACCUCUAUCCCAAAGGAUAAAGAGGUUGCUUCCAGUUAGACCCCCAAUUCCAACGCCAUAGAUGAAAAGUAAAUACAAAGUGAAAAAACGACUUUAAAAUAUCGUCAUAAUAAGCAAAAAUGUAAAAUAAAAACUAAAUCAAUACUAAAAUACAACAAUAUUUACUUAAUUACACAAAUGGUUUAUGUGGUUUCGUCGUAGUUACAAGUUUAACUUUAAAAGUCGCUAUUUUGAGUUAUGUUAUUUUCAUUUUACAACAAUAAUUAAAAAAAAAAUAUGAUUUUAAUUACGGUGUUGAGAGUGGAAGCCAUGGGAAGAUGGGGGUUGGGUUUUUGUAUAAAGUCAUUCUAUGUGAAAUUAACUGACUUUUCUAGCACAUGUUAG